RNAcentral lists this ribosomal RNA (497 nucleotides) under uncultured bacterium. RNAcentral's name for it is "partial 16S ribosomal RNA". It matches the Rfam family "Bacterial small subunit ribosomal RNA", at positions 28 to 507 of the family's 1533-position model. The record is from RNAcentral.
GAUGAACGCUGGCGGCGUGCCUAAUACAUGCAAGUCGAGCGAACGGACGAGAAGCUUGCUUCUCUGAUGUUAGCGGCGGACGGGUGAGUAACACGUGUAUAACCUACCUUUAAGACUGGGAUAACUUCGGGAAACCGUAUCUAAUACCGGAUAAUAUUUUGAACCGCAUGGUUCAACAGUGAAAGACGGUCUUGCUGUCACUUAUAGAUGGAUCCUCGCUGCAUUAGCUAGUUGGUAAGGUAACGGCUUACCAAGGCAACGAUGCAUAGCCGACCUGAGAGGAUGAUCGGCCACACUGGAACUGAGACACGGUCCAGACUCCUACGGGAGGCAGCAGUAGGGAAUAUUGCGCAAUGGGCGAAAGCCUGAUGGAGCAACGCCGCGUGAGUGAUGAAGGUCUUCGGAUCGUAAAACUCUGUUAUUAGGGAAGAACAUAUGUGUAAGUAACUGUGCACAUCUUGACGGUACCUAAACAGAAAGCAACGGCUAACUACGCG